GGUGGGGUGGCCGAGUGGUUUAAGGCGACGGUCUUGAAAACCGUUAUACUCGCAAGGGUAUCGUGAGUUCGAAUCUCACCCCCACCG
This 87-nucleotide transfer RNA is filed under the name Candidatus Tagabacteria bacterium RIFCSPLOWO2_01_FULL_42_9. RNAcentral describes it as "tRNA-Ser". It matches the Rfam family "tRNA". From Rfam's summary of the family: Transfer RNA (tRNA) molecules are approximately 80 nucleotides in length. Their secondary structure includes four short double-helical elements and three loops (D, anti-codon, and T loops). Lineage: Bacteria; Candidatus Tagaibacteriota. The record is from RNAcentral.